AUUAGUUUAUUAGCGAAAUUUUUGGCGGGAACGUGGCGGGUGAAGUUGUGUGAUUUGUUAGAAUUUCUAUAUAAUUACCUAUUUAGUGCUUCUAGUGUCUGCGAUAUGCCAGGGUUUUGACACGUAAGAUCUGUUACAACGAAAAUACAAUACAAUUCCAUUAAACGUUGAUAUUACGUGAAUAGGUACUGGCUAAACUUUCCUCUAUGGUCCUCUAAAGUUCCUUCCUAAAGUUUAACCUAGUCAACAUACUGCAGCCUUUGGCCAAUCUAGGGGUGGUCGUGGUGGCGGUAGAAGUGUCUGCACAUGUGGUGGUGGUCGCCACCAAGCCAGACUUUCGGCCUCUGAACCGUAAUUACCUCUUAAAACUAAAAGUCUCAAUACCAAUUGAGGAAUUGCCACCCGGCCAACCCCUAGAAACGCCACAGCACUCUAAGAGGGUAAGGGUGCUCCCUCCUGUGAUGGCGAAACACCUAAGAUCAGAAAUGUGGAGUUUCUCUCUGCAUAAGCUGACAUCGACCAGUGGGCCAAUGGAGCUUUUGGUGCCAUCACCUGCCCUAUAGUAUGUGGGCCUGGCAGUAGUUGGGCAAGCACCUCGACCACCGAGAGUGGCCUGUAAGUUUGGAUCGCACUCCCAGAACACCCCGUCGACAAAUAAUCCGUUGGUGCAAACCUCUUCGCGAUGACGAGCUAAAAGCUUUGCUCAAUUACGCGAAGAAGAGUCUAAGGAUGAAGAAAUUGUCCAGCCGUCAUUGGUGCCCCGAGCGGCAAGGAUGUGGAUGGACGAAGACGAUGAGGAAGUUGGAAGAGAAGAUGGGUUUAAUAUUACUUACGAGUGGCCUCCUCAAUCUCUUCGCCUAUCCACGUUAACCCCAAUGCGCGCCUCACCGACGACUCUUUCGUUUACUCCGUUAGAACCUUUUUUCACUAUUUUUUUAUUGCUUAGGUGGGUGGACGAGCUCACAGCCCACCUGGUGUUAAGUGGUUACUGGAGCCCAUAGACAUCUACGACGUAAAUGUGCCACCCACCUUGAGAUAUAAGUUCUAAGGUCUCAGUAUAGUUACAGUAUAUAGGUCUCAGUAUAGAACCUAAUAAAAAAUUAAAAUUUGAACGGAGAAAGGUGUUAAUGCCUCAAAUUGAACCCCAUUUAAAGCGAAGAACCUUCACCCAAAUAAGUGGCCCUACGGUCUCUUUCAUACGAUGUAUUUAUUGCUAUAGGGGAUCGUGAAAUCGUGGAAGUGAUUGUCACGGAAACCAACACUUACGCACAGCACACACACUGGUGGUAGGACCUCUUGUGAGUCCGCGCGGGUAGGUACCACCGCCCUGCCUAUUUCUGCCGUGAAGCAGUAAUGCGUUUCGAUUUGAAGGGCGGGGCGGCCGUUGUAACUAUACUGAGACGUCUGAGACCUUAGAACUUGUGUCUCAAGGCGGGUGGCGCAUUUGUAGAUGUCAAUGAGCUCCAGUAACCACUUAAUACCAGGUGGACUGUGAGCUCGUCCAGCCAUCUGAGCAAUAAAAGAUAAAUAAAAAAUAUGGGAUCGUGAAAUCGUGGAAGUGAUUGUCACGGAAACCAACACUUACGCAUAGCAGCUGAUAAUGGCCAUGUUUUUUUUUUUUUUUUUGCUCAGAUUGCUGGACGAGCUCACAGCCCACCCGACUUACUGUACUUAGUUACUGGAGCCCAUAGACAUCUACAACGUAAAUGCGCCACCCACCUUCAGAUACAAGUUCUAAGGUCUCAGUAUAGUUACAACGGCUGCCCCGCCCUUCCAGCCGAAACGGUCUACUUCUUCACGGCAGAAAUAAGACAGAGCGGUGGUACCUACCCGCGCGGACUCACAAGAGGUCCUACCACCGGUAAAAUGUUGGAGAAUGAGACGAUCCAAUAAUAGCUGGAUUGGAUGGCAAGAUACAAAUGUAAACGUGCUUUACACGUAUCUUGCCCAUCGUUCUGGCUGUGUGGGUGGUAGUAAAUAACUCGCUUAGUAGAGUAGUAUAUUAGUAGUAGAAUAUUAGUGUACCUCUAGAAAUAUUUGUUAUACACCAGACUUCUCCGCGGAGAUGUGAUAUGAGUGUUUCCUGCUGCUGUCAAAAUGCCUGCAUUUUGUUAACAAUGAAAAUUGUGAUUUUGCAACGUUGCCACAGUGGCCGGGCCAAACUUUCCAAAAUUAAACCAAUAUUAGACCUCUUUUUUAACACGCUUUAUAUUACCUUCACUUGUAUAUAUGUUUGUAUGUUUGUAACUGACUCCUUUGGAAGCGAUUUUGACCCACUUUAAACGGCCAGUUGUUAUUUAAAUUUUGUAGAUUUAUCGAGGACCGAUGACAAUACACCAAUUUGAUAAGAUUAUUCCAUUAUUCAAUUUGUCAAAUAAGAUUUUUGUCAAUUUAUAUAAUUUUUAUCUAUAGUCGAUAAGGCGGGAAUUGAAGUUAAAGUACUUAAUAGUUUUAAAAAUACGCUUUUAUAGAAAAGUUUAACUAAAAAAUGAAAAAUAAAUAAUAGUUUACAAAAAUUAAAAAAACACGCGUUAUAGUCUAAAAUUCAAUUAAAAAAUAGAAAAUAAAUUUUAAUAAAUUUAAAUUGAAAAUACUGUAAAAAAUAUAUAUUUUAUUUAAAAAAAAGCGUGGGUACUUUUUUAAGAUAUUAUUGGAAUAAUAAUUCUUCUACUCUUAUCUGUCGAAAAAUAUUUCUAACUAAUAACACCAUGCACCCCACGCUUUUUUUACAAUAAAAUAUAUUUUACACUAUUUUCAAUUUCAAUUUAUUAAAAUUUGUUUCUAUUUUUUAGUUGAAUUUUAUAUAAAGCGUGUUUUUUUGUUUUUUUAAACUAUUAUUUAUUUCCUUUAUUGAUGCAAGAAACAAAUUACAACCAUAGAAAUUAUAAGUUUAAAUAUUUAAUUUAACAAUCUGGAUUGAAAUUCAAAACAGGUUCAUACAGAAGAAUUAUAAAAACUGAACAGAUGCCUAAAUACCUUGUGUGUAUAUAUAUAUAUAUACAUGUAUAUAGAUAUACACAUACGUUCACACACACAUAUGUAAGUUACUAUCUAAUUAAAUUUAAUGUAAUGUAUUAUUAACUGAACAAUAUUAAUUAUUUGAGAAUAUAUUUAACUAAUUUAUAAUAUUUAUAAAAACUAUUUUCAAAAUUAUACGUAUUAGCGCAAAUUAACGCUAUUGACGAGAGUUUGACAAUGUGGAAGGGCUGGCUUUUUUUUUUAAUUGCCGUUGUAGGCAGACGAGCAUGCGGCCCACCUGAUGGUGAGUGGUUACCGUCGCCCAUUGACUUCAGCAAUGCCAGGGGUAGAGCCAAGCCGCUGCCUACCCAACUGGCUUGACAGAAACCAGUUCAUUCCUAACAAGGCAGCGACAGUUGGUAUCAAAACUUAUACUAGGACGCGCGCUGAGUCGGCUGCGAUGGUCCUGCUGAGGCUGCGAUGCUGGCUUGCUGUGGGAUGACUGUCGAUGACUUGCUUUUGUCUGCGAGAAUGCGGGAAUUGUGGUAGCCGAAGUUCUUGAUGCGCUGAUGAUGAAGUGUGAAGGUUGCAAUUGUUCCGUCGCAGGUCACCAGUGUGGGAUGCUGAAUGAUGAAAGGGAAAAUGUUCCACCGAGCGGGUCAUAUUUGCUCGGUAGACCGACGGUCCGAAUGUUGUUGUUCGGAUCUUGUAUAUAUGCGAGCUUAUCUUGAAAAUGUCAUAAGCGAGAUUCAGGCGUCUGUCAAAUAUCUUGUUCUGUGAUGGGUACCGCCACAAAGUGUUUGAAUCGCAGAGUUACCUGUGGCGGUUCGAAGUUCACGCCGGCCCUCGGCUUCACAGGACGCGCCAAUUUCUCGUGCUCAGGCUUUUAAAUGGUCUUGAGCAUAAAGGGCACACAGUAUGGGCAGAUUUUUAUAAUUCUAGUCCGAAAACUUAAGGUCCGAGGCUUUGACUGCGUGGUGACACUGCAGACUAACCGGCAAUUGGUGCCGUAAGAAUUGUCGUCCCUUACAAAAAGGAAUAUGACAGUCGGCCAAGUGUUGGGAUGCACCUCGGGAGAUGGGGAUCUUUUGGUAUGGAGAGAUAAAAGCCGGGUGGCAUUUAUUUCCGCAUACCAUGGUCUCGCAUCUGUCAUGUUUGGAAAUAGACUGAGGCGGUCUGUCGCUCAAGACUACAAUGUGUGUAUGGGCGGAGUAGUGGCAAGGACCAUCAGCUCGCAAUGUGCCCCAUAGAAAGAAGACGAACAAAAGUUUGGUACAUGAAAGUUUAGAAGGCUCUACAAAGCUAGCGUUUUGAACUCACACAUACUACACCACGAUCGAGCGUUGUCACACCGGAGAUUCCGGACGGUGUUAUCCACUAAAUUGACUGCACACAGAACACAUCCUACUUUUUUUUUUCGGGUAUGGGCCGGACCUCCAUGAGGUCCCCGCGCCUAGGGGGUAUGUGGGACUCGACGAUCUGCAAGGUGUUGGAAGCAGACCGUGGGCCCAAGGAUUUUUAGGGCCCACCCACUAAACGACUCCCCUGCACUCUUACACCCGACGUCCGAUCUCCGUCCGGGGUCAAAACCCACACAUCAAAACACAUCCACCUAGCACAACCAUCGCAACACAAGUACAUUGCCCGACGCAAUACGACCUGCUCAAGCCGGGAAAGUCAGACCGCUUUAGGCACCAUUGCGUCGUCUGCCCCAGCCGGACUCAUACACACUGUAAAGCCUGCAACGUGACAAUGUGUAUGUACAUUUGUUACGAGACAUACCACACUUGACACGGACACUUUACCGUUUCUUUCCUAUCUAUGCUGAUAGCCUUGAGAGGCUAUUUCAGCUUCUCCUUGACGUGUGUAGGUGAGCUCACGGGACUCAAACCGGGAGUGUUGCUAGCACUAACCCUAGCAAGAGCCGUGCUUCGCAGAAUCUACCACCGAAUCGGAAACGCGACCCACUGAGAAGAUCCGGCGAGAAACUCAGUGGGCUGUGGUCUAUGGGUUAAUUUACUCGUCGAGCCCUUUGUCGCAAGUAACGGGUUCGACAAGGACGGUGACCGGUGCUUGAGGCACCUGAAAGCACCUUUAGUGGAUCGAACACUUAAUCUCUCAUUGCCACUUAUUUUCAUACACACACGCGCGCGCGCACACAUUAAGGGUUUAAAGGCACUAGUGUUAUAGAUAGUACUUCUAAAAAAAUUGAUUUUUUUUGCCCUUGUAGCCAGACGAGCAUACCUGAUGGUGAGUGGUUACCGUAAAAAGUUGGUGAUUUGUUAUUGUUCCCAUCCAUAUUGUUGCACAGUACUAAAAAAAUCCUGCCUUAUGUGUUGUAGGACUUGUUAGGUACGUUGUAUGUUAUAUGGCGGGUUACGGGGUCGUGUCAACCAUGCAAUUCGCAAUUAUUAGAGAUGGCACAUAAAUUAAGUGCGCAACUGGAUUAUUAUGAGUGUUGGGUAAUGGGUGUUGGGUUAUUUAUUUGUGUGCGAUCUUUUAAUUAUGUGAUACCUAGGUACGAUUAAUUGCAAGUGACCUGGUUGUUAUUACGUUUUUUAAUAUUAUUAUUUUCUUCUUUUUCAUCACGAAAUCAUUAAAACAAUUGUUUAUUUGACAUACCAUCAAUAGUUAAAUAAAAAUAGAUUCGAAAAAAAACUAACUAAGCUAAGUUAAAAAAACUAAGAUGACUGCAGCGGCUAUGGCGAAAGAAUAUUGGUAUAAAAAAUAAUUAUUCUUAAAUAUGAUUGUUAUAAAUUAGUUUGUAAGUUUUUUUUUUCAAUAAAUAAACGAUGUAUAAUAAUAUUACAUUCAGCCAGCGUUUUAAUUUUUUUUAUCGUAAAGUAAAAAUUAAAUUAAUUAGGUAUCCCAUAUGGGGUAUAAAUAAUAUUAUUUAUAAUAGAAUUCUCAAGUGUAGUAUGAGAAAUUACAUAAAGGAAUAUAUCUUGAUUAAUCUAAUUGGAAUUAUACACUGUGUUUAACAUAUAAGUUUAGCGGCAUUCGCUACAAGAUGUCGCUAGUUUCCAUACAAAAAUAUAGUUGUCCUAAAGUAUCCCAGUUUCUGAUGUCUGCGAAUGGUUUAUGUGUUGUCGGGAGCUAUUUGAAUUUUAAAUAUAUGCGCUUAUAAGGUUGUCCUCCGCUUAGUUUUAAAUAGCACGUUACUGCGUUUUUUACUGGUGGUAGGACCUCUUGGGAGUCACCACCCCGCCUAUUUCCGCCGUGAAGCAGUAAUGCGUUUCGGUUCGAAGGGUGGGGUAGCCGUUGUAACUAUACUGAGACCUUAGAACUUAUAUCUCGAGGUGGGUGGCGCAUUUACGUUGUAGAUGUCUAUGGGCUCCAGUAACCGCUUAGCACCAGGUGGGCUGUGAGCUCGUCCACACAUGUAAGCAAUAAAAAAAAAAUGCUGAUAGCCUUGAGAGGCUAUUUCAGCUUCUCCUUGACGUGUAGGUGAGCUCACGGGGCUCAAACCGGGAGUAUUGCUAAAACUAACCUUAGUAAGAGCAGUGCUUCCAAGAAUCUAUCACCGGAUCGGAAACGCGACCAACUGAGAAGAUCCAGCGAGAAACUCAGCGAGCUGAUGUUUGGGUUAGGUUGCACGUCGAACUCUUUAACUCUUUUCUCCUAGCGUUAGAGCUGAAGGUUUCUAUUGCUAGAAUUAUUGGCUCUGAUGGAUCCGUAAGGACGUCUCUAGGACGUCGACGGUGAUUGACUCCUGCGUCAGAGGCGGCAACGAUAAGACGAUUAUGAUGACGCAUAGCUUUAUCGAACUUCCCGUGGAGAUGCCUUCAAGUCUCCUUUCACCCCUCGAUAUUGUAUUAACUAGCGUAUUGUGUGCGUCGUCAUACCUAGUGGCGGAUUAAAGGUCCAGAGCGCCCUAGGGAAUCACUAUCGGCGCCCCUGUACCGGCCAUAAAUGGCCAUCAUAAUACUAUAAAUUUCAACUAGUUAUUUUUGCAAUUACGAUGACGUUGUAUUAUCAAACCCUAGACUUUAGUAGACCAGGACAUUUAGUUCAGCAUAUUAUGUCUAUAUGUUAAGGUCUAUAACAUUUUUUAUGCUAACAAUUUUUUAACCAAAUUUGUUCUAAAAUAAAGCAUUAUUUGCGAA
Long non-coding RNA from Bombyx mori (domestic silkworm), 7064 nucleotides. RefSeq lists it as uncharacterized. The record is from RefSeq and is a predicted model, not a curated record. The transcript is spliced from 8 exons. NCBI's taxonomy places the organism in Eukaryota, Metazoa, Arthropoda, Insecta, Lepidoptera, Bombycidae.